RNAcentral lists this unclassified non-coding RNA (200 nucleotides) under soil metagenome. Its description in RNAcentral is "partial contains internal transcribed spacer 2 and large subunit ribosomal RNA". The record is from RNAcentral.
UUCGAGCGUCAUUACAACCCUCACGCUCAGCGUGGUGUUGGGCUCGCCCUCCUGGGCCUGCCUCAAAAUCAGUGGCGGCACCGUGUGACCCCUAAGCGUAGUAAUACUCGUCGCUUCCGGUGGUUGUGCGGCGGCCUGCCAGCGAAUCCCCACUUUUAAAGGUUGACCUCGGAUCAGGUAGGGAUACCCGCUGAACUUAA